GACGAACGCUGGCGGCGUGCUUAACACAUGCAAGUCGAACGCUGAAGACCUGGCUUUUGUUGGGUUGGAUGAGUGGCGAACGGGUGAGUAACACGUGAGUAACCUGCCCUCUUCUUUGGGAUAACGCCCGGAAACGGGUGCUAAUACUGGAUAUUCACUGGCCUUCGCAUGGGGGUUGGUGGAAAGGUUUGUUCUGGUGGGGGAUGGGCUCGCGGCCUAUCAGCUUGUUGGUGGGGUGAUGACCUACCAAGGCUUUGACGGGUAGCCGGCCUGAGAGGGUGACCGGUCACAUUGGGACUGAGAUACGGCCCAGACUCCUACGGGAGGCAGCAGUGGGGAAUAUUGCACAAUGGGCGAAAGCCUGAUGCAGCGACGCCGCGUGAGGGAUGGAGGCCUUCGGGUUGUAAACCUCUUUCGCUCAUGGUCAAGCCGCAACUGUGGGUUGUGGUGAGGGUAGUGGGUAAAGAAGCGCCGGCUAACUACGUG
Molecule: ribosomal RNA, 486 nt
Filed under: uncultured bacterium
Lineage: Bacteria
Description: partial 16S ribosomal RNA
Rfam family: Bacterial small subunit ribosomal RNA
Source: RNAcentral